Molecule: ribosomal RNA, 276 nt
Filed under: uncultured bacterium
Lineage: Bacteria
Description: partial 16S ribosomal RNA
Rfam family: Bacterial small subunit ribosomal RNA
Source: RNAcentral
UAUGCCUACGGGAUGCAGCAGUGGGGAAUAUUGCACAAUGGGGGAAACCCUGAUGCAGCAACGUCGCGUGAAGGAAGACGGUUUUCGGAUUGUAAACUUCUGUUCUUAGUGAAGAAUAAUGACGGUAGCUAAGGAGCAAGCCACGGCUAACUACGUGCCAGCAGCCGCGGUAAUACGGAGGAUGCGAGCGUUAUCCGGAUUUAUUGGGUUUAAAGGGUGCGCAGGCGGGCUGUUAAGCCGGCGGUAAAAAUUCAGGGCUCAACCCUGUCGAGCCGU